RNAcentral lists this ribosomal RNA (1329 nucleotides) under Triticum aestivum (bread wheat). RNAcentral's name for it is "partial small subunit ribosomal RNA". Lineage: Eukaryota; Viridiplantae; Streptophyta; Magnoliopsida; Poales; Poaceae. The record is from RNAcentral.
AUGCUGCUCCGCCGCCUCCUCCACCCCUCCCACCACCUCCGGCGCGGCCUCCAGACCCUAACCACGACCACCAACGCCGCCGCUGCCCCCCCGACACCGCAUCCUCUCUCCGCCCCUCUCCCAUUUCGCCGCCUCCCCGCCCGCCUCCUCUCGCCGCGGCUGCUCUCCACCUCCGGCGGCGACGACGACACCCGAAGACCCUGGGCCUUCACGCAGGACUCCGGAGAUCCGGACCCCUUCGCCGAUGUGGACCCCGCCGCCGCCGUCCCCGGCGAAGCGCCGCUAGGAUCGAGCGCCGUCGUCGAGGGCCCGUGGUCGAAGGACUUCCGCGCGGAGGACAGCGACAAGGCCGACGUGUUCGAGGAGAUCUACAAGGAUGCGGCCGCGGCAGCGCCUGCCGUGAGGAAGGCGGCCCCGGCCGAGCCGUGGACGUGGGAUUUGGAGGGUGAGAAAGACGACCCGUUCGCCGCGAGAAAGGAUGCGGCCGCGGCAGCGCCUACCGCGAGAAAGGCGGCCCCGGCCGAGCCGUGGACGUGGGAUUUGGAGGACGAGAAAGACGAUCCCUUCGCCGCGGCUGUGCUUGAUGUGGGGCUAGAGGGGAUCGCGGAUGAGGGUGCUCAGAUCGAGGAGCUUGUUGAUGGGAAAGAAGAAGAUGCGGAGCGCCAGCGGCAGGAGGACAAGGCGAGGGAGCAGCAGCUGAUGGAGACUCUCAAAGGUCCUGAUCGUGCAUUUGGGGAUCUAAUUUCUGCCUCUGGGAUUACGGAGGAGAUGAUUGACAGUUUGAUCCUCUUGAAGGAUGCCAGGGGAAUACCAGGAUUGCCUCCUCUGAGUGAAAUACAAGAUAGAGCUAUCCAGAAAAUGAAUGCAACAUCAAGCAGGGCAGAAGUAGAACGCCAAAUGCAAGAGGAAAUUGCCAAGGCACGUGUGAGACAAGUUGAUGAGAAAGGAAGGGCUUAUGGUACAGGUAAAAGGAAGUGCAGCAUUGCCCGUGUUUGGAUUCAGCCUGGUGAUGGCAAGUUUGUUGUCAAUGACAAGCAGUUUGAUGCUUACUUCCCAAUUCUGGAUCAUCGAGCUGAUCUUCUCCGGCCAUUUACUGUGACCAAGACGUUGGGGCUUUGGGAUGUAGCUUGUACUGUGAAAGGUGGUGGUGUUUCAGGUCAAGUUGGAGCUGUGCGCCUAGGGAUCAGCAGAGCCUUACAGAAUUGGGAACCAGGACUACGCCCAUAUCUCAAAGCAGCUGGAUAUUUAACCAGAGAUUCGCGUGUGGUCGAAAGGAAGAAGCCUGGAAAGGCAAAGGCAAGGAAGAGCUUCCAAUGGGUCAAGCGUUAA